Molecule: ribosomal RNA, 441 nt
Filed under: uncultured bacterium
Lineage: Bacteria
Description: partial 16S ribosomal RNA
Rfam family: Bacterial small subunit ribosomal RNA
Source: RNAcentral
CCUACGGGAGGCAGCAGUGGGGAAUAUUGCACAAUGGGGGCAACCCUGAUGCAGCAACGCCGCGUGAAGGAAGACGGUUUUCGGAUUGUAAACUUCUGUUCUUAGUGAAGAAUACUGACGGUAGCUAAGGAGCAAGCCACGGCUAACUACGUGCCAGCAGCAGCGGUAAUACGUAGGUCGCAAGCGUUGUCCGGAAUUACUGGGGGUAAAGGGAGCGCAGGCGGGAGGCCAAGUCAGCUGUGAAACCUACGGGCUGAACUUGUAGACUGCAGUUGAGACUGGUUUGCUUGAGUGAAGUAGAGGGGGGCGGAAUGCCGGGUGUAGCGGUGAAAUGCGUAGAUAUUCGGAGGAACACCGGUGGCGAAGGCGGCCAACUGGGCUUUAACUGACGCUGAGGCUCGAAAGUGUGGGGAGCAAACAGGAUUAGAUACCCGAGUAGUC